UGUGGAAUUAGAGUACUUGGAGAUGUCC
RNAcentral lists this non-coding RNA (28 nucleotides) under Cricetulus griseus (Chinese hamster). Lineage: Eukaryota; Metazoa; Chordata; Mammalia; Rodentia; Cricetidae. The record is from RNAcentral.